GAUCAUGGCUCAGAUUGAACGCUGGUGGCAGGCCUAACACAUGCAAGUCGAGCGGCAUCGAGUGAGCACAGUUUACUGAGUUCAUGUCGGCGAGCGGCGGACGGGUGAGUAAAGUCUGGGAAUCUGGCCGACGGAGGGGGAUAACUGCUGGAAACGGCAGCUAAUACCGCAUGAAGUCAUGAGACCAAAGUGGGGGGACCUUCGGGCCUCACGCCGUCGGAUGAGCCCAG
This 230-nucleotide ribosomal RNA is filed under the name uncultured bacterium. RNAcentral describes it as "partial 16S ribosomal RNA". It matches the Rfam family "Bacterial small subunit ribosomal RNA", at positions 15 to 234 of the family's 1533-position model. The record is from RNAcentral.